CGCCCCCUAUACGUCAUCAUUGAGUAAACUUUGACCCGGAACCUCACAGUCAGCAGACACUUCCUGGGAGGUAGGGUCUGCUGCUGAUUGGGUGGAAUGUGUCUGCUGGCUGUGAGGUUCCGGGUCAAAGUUUACUCAAUGAUGACGUAUAGGGGGCG
Molecule: microRNA precursor, 158 nt
Filed under: Pelobates cultripes (western spadefoot toad)
Lineage: Eukaryota; Metazoa; Chordata; Amphibia; Anura; Pelobatidae
Source: RNAcentral